This is a long non-coding RNA of Ailuropoda melanoleuca (giant panda), 2857 nucleotides long. RefSeq lists it as uncharacterized. The transcript is spliced from 5 exons. The record is from RefSeq and is a predicted model, not a curated record. Lineage: Eukaryota; Metazoa; Chordata; Mammalia; Carnivora; Ursidae.
CUCUGAUACUUUUUUUUCUAGUUAGACCAGGGUUUCAUUGCUCGAGUACACAGAUUUAAUGCAACCAGAGGCUGUGGAUGACCUAUUUCCAAGUACGGGUGGGGACUCGUUUGGUCUUAAGAUAUCAAGCCAACUGGUAAAUACACUUUUCAGGAAUCACUCGGAAUUUAGCAUCCUUAUCCUUUCUGUUCCUCUCAAGAUGCUAUGAAACAGCAAUAGCUUUCUUGCUCAAUUGGUACAGAUCCUCAGGAAAAUCAGGAGCAAGUCUUUCGGAUCUAAGAAUUCUCGAGGUUUUACUGCCUGUCACAAAACAUACGUAUGCAACACCAUGUGAGUGUCUCAGGGUCACACUGAUUUCUGAGUCAGGCCCUUCCUGGCCAGUUUGUCCAGCUGCUCCUUCCGGGCAUCAGAUGUCAACUUCAUACAGGUGGGGAUAUUGCAGCACUAAGGCAGAGCCGACUGGGGCAGGCCCUUCCCGGGGUGUGCCUGCGCCCCAGGAGAGUGGCAGUCAGGCAGCAAAAAAUACUUGGAUACUUUGCAAAGGUGUUCCUGCAAAAGUAUUUCAUUUUCAGGGUGAUUCGAGGAAAGGACUUUGGACAAGCACAGGUUUCUGACAACUUUAAGAUCAUAAAACUGAACUGGAUAAGAGUUUCCAGAACUGAUGGAAAAAACUGGAUUCAAGCAGAACAAGAAUUAAUUAUAUGGGACCGAAUGAACUGAGGCGAGUGAUUACGAUCUUUAUGAAACAGUGCUUAUUCUCUGAUGUUUUGGUCUUCCAGAUUUAAGGAAACCUUUUCUCUCAAGCUAUCUAUGACUUAAAACAAUUUGAUAAAGUACACCUCUGUAAACAAAGAUAAAAUAUUUACUCUGUCUCCCUACCUGUCCCCUCCAGACUUCUGAAAUGCUUUUGAGUAUUUUUUUAUGGCAAUAGUUAUUUGCAUAGGCCUAUAACAAUCUGUUCUUGUAACAGGACACAACUGACAACAUUGGUUAUGUUACCAAGGCUUAGACUGGAUUAUCAUAUUUGAAAAAGAUGCACAUAGACUCAAAUAUGGCCAGGCAGUUUUAAGGAACUAGAAUUGACUUUCCAGAGCCAAUAAAGCCCCUUGGGGAAAAAAAAAUCAACCUGGUACCUUGUUUAAAAGGUACCAGCAAAGCAGUCUUUUGUAACAGCUUAUAUGUUCCAUCACUAUUCUCGCUACACUUAUGUAAAUAAUCAUGUAAAUAAUCAGGCCAAAUUUAAUGCAAACAAACUACUUUUACUAUGAUUAUCUUUCGUAAAAAAAUGAGGGCGAAUGUAGAGAGAAAAAUUACAUUUGCACUUCUGUCGACAUGGAGACAUCUAGUCCUGUCAAUUGUCUUUGAGAUUUUGUUAUAUACCUGUUCAACUGGACUGAAUCCUGAAUUCUUCUGGUUUCCUCAAAUACCUGGCGAGGAUUCACCAAACUAACAUUUCUAAUUUUCUCCCACCUUGAUGAGGAUCCACUAAGAACAAGGCCCCCGUGAAUCUCCUCUGAAGGGCCAAGACCAGCUCCUCACUGAAGUUCACGGACUUGAACCUUGGAUACACGUGUCACAGCUGAAGAGGGCUGCGCCUCCCAUCAGGUCCUGGAGACCCUGGAGACCUCUAAUCAAAUGCGCGAGGAAGAGAAGCAGUGGACAUCGAGGUAGACUGCUUCCUCCCAAGAGGCCAGAUCGAUACUCCAUCCUUGAACUAAACGUCAAACCCUCUCUUCCUCUUCCUUCCUGUGCUCUGGCACGGGCCUGGGAAGAUAAUGCCGUCACGUGUAUCUCCCAGGCCACUGCUGAUGCAGGUAACCUCGACCUCAGAACAUGUUACUUCAGGCUGAAUGCUCUGAACCCCUAACUGACCGCUGGCAUCAUCAGGCAAAUGUAACAAUCCCCGUGAAUGAAUCCAUUUGCAGCCACCUCCACGGGAAGUCUGUGCCCUCACAGGGUCUGCCUCUGUCUGUCUGGUGGGGUUCUCACUCUCCCUGGUCCAUGAAUGCCUAGACAGUGGGCAUGACCGAACAGUACCCCUCGGGUUAUCUAAUGUUGUCGUAACUGUUCACAGACUGAGACAACAAGCUGGUCAACUUCCCUGAGUUUACACCAUUGAGAUAAAAAGGUCAACCAGAGGGCAUUCAUAAUUCGAAAUUAGCUUCUGUGGGUAGGUCACCGUUUCCUUGGAGUGCAGAUGAGGCUGUGACCCGGAACAACACCUUAACUCAUGAACACGUUGAGUAAUCUGGCGCUGAAACAAUGCCUGACCAGCAAAAAUGCUUAGACUUUCUGGCCAAAGUUAUGCUUAGUAAUAGGAGAGUCUUUGAUUAUCUUUUAGCUGAACAAGAUGUCUAUACUGGGGACACCACCACCUGCUGCAUCUGGAGCAUGACUUCUGGAGAAACUGGAACUCAGUUAUGUAAGAAUUACCUCCCUUAAGUUUGUACUUUAAAGAGGUGGCCGAGAAAAGAGUUAACAUUUAUCCCUCAAAGGCACAGGGAAAGAAUCUACCUUCCUGCAAGAAGGAUUCUGGUUCCUAAGGACAAUACUUAGGAGCCUUUUGAGAUUAUUCUGCUGAUAGGUCAACUGACAGGGAAAUAUCAAAGGAGAGAAAAACUCAUUCUCAAUACAGAAAACCACUUGUGCAGGAGGUCUGCCUUUGUGCCUUUUAUACGUAAAAUAAUUCUGUUGGAAAGCAAACACACAGCACCUCAUUUCAGGAUGAUGUUCAUCUGUUUUGAUUCUGAUCUGAGUCGUUUAAGCCAAAUACAGGAAGCUCAUGUGUGAUGCUAGGGUCUCCAGGGUGAUGGCUUCCUACCUGCAACAGUCGCCAGCAGCAGCAGUGAAGAGAGCA